CCCCAACAACGUGCAGGCACCUCUCCGUGGUGCUGGGGACCAGUACUCGAGUAUUCAAGAGUUUUCGAAGAAGCAAAGACCUGC
Molecule: non-coding RNA, 84 nt
Filed under: Penicillium rubens Wisconsin 54-1255
Lineage: Eukaryota; Fungi; Ascomycota; Eurotiomycetes; Eurotiales; Aspergillaceae
Source: RNAcentral